UAAGCACAUGACUUCCCCCAAAGGAUCCUGGGAACUGUCAUUAGUUAUGGGUACUGGGAACUGUGAGGGGUAAACUACAACUUCCAGGAUUCUUUGGGGGAAGCUGAGUGCUU
Non-coding RNA from Podarcis lilfordi (Lilford's wall lizard), 113 nucleotides. NCBI's taxonomy places the organism in Eukaryota, Metazoa, Chordata, Lepidosauria, Squamata, Lacertidae. The record is from the annotation of a GenBank genome assembly.